Molecule: ribosomal RNA, 92 nt
Filed under: Hypselonotus punctiventris
Lineage: Eukaryota; Metazoa; Arthropoda; Insecta; Hemiptera; Coreidae
Description: partial small subunit ribosomal RNA
Source: RNAcentral
UUUAUUUUGGUUUAAUGGAUAAGAUUGAUCCUGUCUUUAUUUUUGAUUAAAUUGGUUUAUAGGUGGUAUUAAAUAUAAAUUUUUGUGUGUUG